AUCAUUUUAACAUUAGCUUGAAUAACAAUUUUAAAUCUGUUCUUCUCACUUUAAUAACUGAUACUUCCUCUUUCUGAGGACUAUCUAUUAAACUGAUUUUUGGAAUAGGGAGAUGGAAUAGCAGCUUGCUUCAUCCACUGCCUGUUAUUGCAGUACUCAACCUCCAGGAACGGUGGCCCUCCC
Molecule: small nuclear RNA, 183 nt
Organism: Terrapene triunguis (Three-toed box turtle)
Lineage: Eukaryota; Metazoa; Chordata; Testudines; Emydidae
Gene: U2
Rfam family: U2 spliceosomal RNA
About the family: U2 is a small nuclear RNA (snRNA) component of the spliceosome (involved in pre-mRNA splicing). Complementary binding between U2 snRNA (in an area lying towards the 5' end but 3' to hairpin I) and the branchpoint sequence (BPS) of the intron results the bulging out of an unpaired adenosine, on the BPS, which initiates a nucleophilic attack at the intronic 5' splice site, thus starting the first of two transesterification reactions that mediate splicing.
Source: Ensembl